This 709-nucleotide ribosomal RNA is filed under the name uncultured Pseudomonadota bacterium. RNAcentral describes it as "bacterial SSU rRNA". It matches the Rfam family "Bacterial small subunit ribosomal RNA", at positions 70 to 774 of the family's 1533-position model. Lineage: Bacteria; Pseudomonadati; Pseudomonadota. The record is from RNAcentral.
CAGCGCGGGAGCAAUCCUGGCGGCGAGCGGCGGACGGGUGAGCAAUAUUUGGGAAUCUGCCUAUUAGUGGGGGACAACCCGGGGAAACUCGGGCUAAUACCGCAUACGCACUAUGGUGGAAAGCCGGGGACCGCAAGGCCUGGCGCUAAUAGAUGAGCCCAAAUCGGAUUAGCUAGUUGGUGAGGUAAUGGCUCACCAAGGCUACGAUCCGUAGCUGGUCUGAGAGGACGACCAGCCACACCGGAACUGAGACACGGUCCGGACUCCUACGGGAGGCAGCAGUGGGGAAUAUUGGACAAUGGGCGAAAGCCUGAUCCAGCGACGCCGCGUGGGUGAAGAAGGCCUGCGGGUUGUAAAGCCCUUUCGGUGGGGAAGAAAAGCCUCGACCUAACACGUCGGGGUCUUGACGUAACCCAUAGAAGAAGCACCGGCUAACUCUGUGCCAGCAGCCGCGGUAAUACAGAGGGUGCGAGCGUUAAUCGGAAUUACUGGGCGUAAAGCGCGCGUAGGCGGCUUUGCAAGUCGAGUGUGAAAUCCCCAGGCUUAACCUGGGAACUGCAUUCGAGACUGCAUAGCUAGAGUAUGGGAGAGGGAAGUGGAAUUUCAGGUGUAGCGGUGAAAUGCGUAGAUAUCUGAAGGAACAUCAGUGGCGAAAGCGACUUCCUGGACCAAUACUGACGCUCAUGUGCGAAAGCGUGGGGAGCAAACA